This 276-nucleotide unclassified non-coding RNA is filed under the name Hevea brasiliensis (rubber tree). Lineage: Eukaryota; Viridiplantae; Streptophyta; Magnoliopsida; Malpighiales; Euphorbiaceae. The record is from RNAcentral.
GCAUAAUUAGUCAGGUUGUGCCCUUUACUUUCUCCAGCGGUAUUGGAUUUGCAUUCUUCUUUUAAUUUCUUUUUGUUAUUUUCUCAGUUGGUAAUUUAUUUUUGGUGCCUAAUGUGAGUUGAUUUGCUACUUUAUAGCUUAUUGAAGUAAAAUCUUAUUGUUUUUAAAAUGUAAAAAUUUCAGUGGAAUAAGGCAUUUGAGCUCCUUAUUUUGCUAAAAUUGCCUUUGAAACUUCAAUUCCUGUGCGUUUAGUCAGCUUUGCAUCUUGGAAAAAUU